GUAGCUCAACGGUAGAGCACUACCCUCUCAAGGUAGGGGUCGAAAGACCUCCAUGGCUUCCUCACUCGGGCGCUGAGCCUAUUUCCUCCGAGACCUUCCGAGCGGGGCCCCA
Molecule: transfer RNA, 112 nt
Filed under: Myxococcales bacterium
Lineage: Bacteria; Pseudomonadati; Myxococcota; Myxococcia; Myxococcales
Description: tRNA-Glu
Rfam family: tRNA (bases 1-68)
About the family: Transfer RNA (tRNA) molecules are approximately 80 nucleotides in length. Their secondary structure includes four short double-helical elements and three loops (D, anti-codon, and T loops). Further hydrogen bonds mediate the characteristic L-shaped molecular structure. tRNAs have two regions of fundamental functional importance: the anti-codon, which is responsible for specific mRNA codon recognition, and the 3' end, to which the tRNAs corresponding amino acid is attached (by aminoacyl-tRNA synthetases). tRNAs cope with the degeneracy of the genetic code in two manners: having more than one tRNA (with a specific anti-codon) for a particular amino acid; and 'wobble' base-pairing, i.e. permitting non-standard base-pairing at the 3rd anti-codon position.
Source: RNAcentral